Molecule: long non-coding RNA, 3331 nt
Organism: Scleropages formosus (Asian bonytongue)
Lineage: Eukaryota; Metazoa; Chordata; Actinopteri; Osteoglossiformes; Osteoglossidae
Source: Ensembl
CUUUGCCUUUCAAAGCGAAGUUUGAAAUAUUGCCUGCGCGCCUCGUUCGUGGUUGUUUGAAGAUCCGUGUAAACUUCCCGGGUUCCCGAUCCGUGCCAUGAUGGAGGUGCCGUCGGCGUCGCCGGGCGGCGUGUCCGACGACGACGACGUUAGGCCCAGCGUGCUGGAAUCCACAGCCGCUGACCCCGGGGGCCUCGCGGGCCCGCGGGGUCGAGGUUACGACCUGCCGGAGAUCUCCCUGAUCUCCUCGCCUCAAGACGACCAGCCUUUAAGGAAAGAGGUGAAACAUGUGGGGAUACAUAUGGACAAAGAGGAUGAUGUGGAGAGAGUCCAAGUGUAUUUGCGUGUUCGGCCCGUGCUCGAGGCGGAGAAGGAACGUGGUGAGGAACAGGGCUGUGUCUUUAUUCACGACCAACAAACCGUGGUGCUGAAAGCCCCCACGGACUCGUUCAACAUGAAGGGCAUGGAAAGGGGUACUGCUCAGAGCAUGCACAAGUUCACUUUUACACAGAUAUCUGGACCUGAGACAACUCAGCAAGAGUUUUUUGAGUGUACCACGAAGGAGCUUGUGCAGGAGGUCCUACGUGGUGAGAACAGGCUGCUUUUCACGUAUGGCAUCACCAACUCUGGCAAGACAUACACCGUCCAGGGAACGAGCCAGAAGGCCGGCCUGCUCCCCCGGACACUGGUGGCCUUGUUUCGCAAGCUGCAGGGUCAUCUUUCCUGUGCGCUGGAGCUGAAACCAGUGCUGUGCCAGGAGGUGCGCGUCCUGGACCAUACCGAGGUCCAGGCUGAGGAGAUCCGCCGAGACAAACUGCUACACAUGGUGAGGAGGAUUCUGGGAACGUACGAUGUCAGCAUCAGCUGUGAUAGUGGCUUUUGGGGUGCGUCCACAGUCGCCCAGCUGGAGGACUCAGACAGUGUUUGCCUGGAAGCCAAAAGCCUUUCACAGAGUGGAGAGGAGGGGCUCCCGGAAGGGGUGCAGUUCUCGGUAUGGGUGUCCUUUUUCGAAAUCUACAACGAGUUCCUGUAUGAUCUGCUGGAUUCCACGUCUUCCUCGCACCGCAGGAAACGAUCGACAUUGCGCUUGUGUGAAGAUCGCCACGGAAACCCUUAUGUGAAAGACCUCACCUGGAUGCAGGUCCGCAGCGCUGAGGAGGCCUGGAAAGUUCUGAAAGUGGGGCGCAGCAACCAGAGUUUUGCAGGCACUCAUAUGAACCAUGUUUCCAGCCGCAGUCACAGCAUCUUCAACAUCCGCAUCCUGCACACGCACCCUGGAAGCAGCAGGGGGCAGAAUGCUCGGAUUAGUGAGCUGUCUGUCUGUGACCUUGCGGGGUCAGAGCGUUGCAGAAACCAGCAGAACGGGGAGCGCAUUAAGGAAGCAACCAACAUCAACACCUCUCUUCACACCCUUGGCCGGUGCCUCAAUGCCCUUCGAUACAACCAGGCCAACAGGUCUCGGCCCCCCCUGGUCGUGCCCUUCAGGGACAGCAAGCUGACACGUGUGCUGCAGGGCUUCUUCUGCGGCCGUGGUCGCUCCAUCAUGGUGGUCAACAUCAACCCUUGCGCCUCCAGCUAUGAUGAGACACUGCAUGCCCUCAAGUUCUCCGCUGUCGCAAUGCAGCUGGUCCACAUCCCGUCCACUAAGACCCGUGUAGCCUACAUCCUGUCUCUGCUGCAAGGAUGUGAGCAGCGAGCCAGUGAGAGCACUCUGCUGGAGGAAGAGGAUGGCGACGAGGAGGGAGACGUCACCAUGUUUGAUUGUGAGGAGCUCCUGCGAGCCAUAGAGGUGCUGAAGGGAGAGGUGCUGAGACAGAGGGAGGAGAAGGAGACGUUGGAAGGCAAUGUGAGGGAACAGGUCUUCUCCGAAAUGAUGGAGGUCAUAAGACGCAUGGAGAAAGACUUCAGUGAAACCCUGGAAACGGAGAGGGAGCUGAUGCAAGAGCGAUAUGAGGACAAGAUCCAGAACUUGCAGAAAAGCCUGAGAAGAUACUACAUACAGGAGAUUGAGGAGCGGGAUGAACGGAUCAAAAAACUGACAGAAGAGCUGGGACACAGGAAGGAGCUUGGUGGACAGGGAGUAUCGUUGCUCCCGGCGAGCGAGGGUGGUCCACCACAGCUGGGAAACGAGGGCCAUCGCCAUUCCCGUCGCAACACCUCCUCGCAAACUGCAGAGCUGAGCAGAGUGAGGGAGCAGCUGGUCCGGUGCCAGAACCUCCGUCAGCUGCGUGUCGGCCUCCAGCAGCUGAGCCUGAACCUGCGGUCAGGGGAACGGGUCUGCUGUAGCAACACGAGCGGAGAGCGGCUGCGCACCAUGCUGGCUGCUGCCGAAGGGGUGGCUGCCAAGCAGGAGCAGACACUGGUGGAGCUGCAGAAGAGCUGGAUGACGGUCAGAAUGGAGCUCAGGAAGAAGUCCGAAGACGUAGCCGGACCGCAGCUCCCAACCCCCGGUUCCUUCCGGAAAAAGGGGCACCCAAACCGGGAAUCUGAGCUUGAGAACAAACACCCCAAGAAGAAACGCUCUGUCCGAUGUGUGCGGAACGCCCCCCCGGUCAGCCCCGCCACACCCUUUUUCCGCGCUCUGCGCUCCCGCCAGCAGAGUCCCCUGUCCUGACGGGGUCAAGUGUUGAGUUUCCAGGAGUGCAGUGUUUGGAAACAGUUGGUCACAUUAACCAGCCAAAUCUGAAUGAUGCAUUGGCUUUGAGUGAAUGUGAAAUAACUCAGUUUUAGUGCCAUGUCAUUUACACAGGUUUCUCUGAUCUGUCAAAUCUGGUGCUGGGGUUUGUGGUCUAAGGUGGUGUGUUUUCUUCCUCUCAGCUGUACUGCAGCUCACCUUUGGGGUGUAGAGUCGCUCAUCAAAUUUCAAAAUAUUUCAACUUUUGUGAAGUUCAGAAUACCUUGCACAUAAGUAAAAUUAUGGAAUAUAAACAACAUAUGCACUACUUCAUGACUUGGUGGUCAGCUUAGGAUUUGGUUUUGAUUUGGUUGUUCAAAAAUCACUGAAUGGUUCUUGUUACUGCACUGCACUGUUAGCUGAACAACGCAGUGGUGCUGGUUUGAAAAAUAAGUGUAUUUUGCUUUGGUGGUGUAUAAUCUAUUUAGUUGUGCUUCUGCACAUACUGGUGCUCAAUUACCCUGAAUGCUUUACCACACUUUUGGUGCACAUCACUUUCUACUGUGUUUCGUGUUGCUGUGCAGGCAGUACUUUUGCUUUCAUAGAAUGUGAAGCAUUUCAAAUGAAGCUUAUUUUUAUGUUGAAGUUCUCCAGUUUGCAUUAUUUUUCGGGGGUGUACCGUACACAGAAGUAACUUUUUCUCGUUUUGCCAUGCAU